This 77-nucleotide transfer RNA is filed under the name Candidatus Nomurabacteria bacterium. RNAcentral's name for it is "tRNA-Arg". It matches the Rfam family "tRNA". Rfam says of the family: Transfer RNA (tRNA) molecules are approximately 80 nucleotides in length. Their secondary structure includes four short double-helical elements and three loops (D, anti-codon, and T loops). The record is from RNAcentral. Lineage: Bacteria; Candidatus Nomuraibacteriota.
GGCGCCAUAGCUCAGCUGGAUAGAGCAGAGGACUUCUAAGCCUAAGGUCGCAAGUUCGAAUCUUGCUGGCGCUACCA